This 216-nucleotide long non-coding RNA is filed under the name Elaeis guineensis (African oil palm). RNAcentral's name for it is "long non-coding RNA (EGUI_LNC055023)". The record is from RNAcentral. Lineage: Eukaryota; Viridiplantae; Streptophyta; Magnoliopsida; Arecales; Arecaceae.
AUCUAAGAAGAGAAAAGAGAAAGAAGAAGAGAAGAAGAACUUCAUGGUGAUCUGGCUCAGAUCCCAUUGGAUCGCGUGAAAGAGUUCGCACAGUGAUCUUCUUCUUCAAAAUCUAGAAGAAGAGAUCUAGAUCUAAGGAUGAGGAGCAAGAUCUGCAAGGUGCUAGCACACCAAUAAUCUCGGUGCUCCAAUCAGAUAUCUCAUGUGGAUGCUAGC